AGGGAAGUUGCUUGAAAACUUGGAACUGAAUAUCCCAAACCAUCUCACUUCCCAAGGGCUCUGAAGAAAACAGAGUAAUAGAAAGAAUAACUCAGGUCAAAUAUGCAUUUUGACUUUAUCCUGGGAUAUGUUGUGAGAUGUUGGCCUAUGCCUAGUCUCUUUUUGUCAGAACAACUCAAGACUUCCGGGUAAUCAUGGCUGCAAUCUAGACGCCGCACGCUUUCUCUCCCCAGCACCGAACGAAAUAGACUACAUCAAAGGAGCAUAAAAUCACCUUUGGAGGAACAGAAGGACUCCCCAGUACCCCACAGAGGCAAAGCUCCAAAGCAAGACCAAAACACUCUGUUUCUAGAGAGGACAAACUAUUGGUGUGGCCAAGGCAGAGGUGUAUUUAAAGCAAUUUACAAGUGCCUGAAUGAGGGAAUAUAAAAACAAAACAAGACAAAGAAUAACAGCAACAAACAAUGAAAAAAAGCCUUUGCCCACCAGGACCAUGAAUUUUAUUUUGUAAGACAACAUGUACAGAAUUAAGUAAAUGUGAGUGCAUGUGUUUGUUCACAGAGAAGUAUGGAUUCUGGGAUCUUUGGGCAUCCUGGUAACAUUUUUUAUUUAUAUCUACUAAAUUUCUAUGAAAAAUAAUAAAACCUAUAUUAAUAUACUUUACA
Molecule: long non-coding RNA, 665 nt
Filed under: Monodelphis domestica (gray short-tailed opossum)
Lineage: Eukaryota; Metazoa; Chordata; Mammalia; Didelphimorphia; Didelphidae
Description: lncRNA (ENSMODG00000047792.1)
Source: RNAcentral